GAUGAACGCUGGCGGCGUGCUUAACACAUGCAAGUCGAACGAAGCACUUUAUUACGAUUUCUUCGGAAUGACGAUUUAGUGACUGAGUGGCGGACGGGUGAGUAACGCGUGGGUAACCUGCCUUAUACAGGGGGAUAACAGUUGGAAACGGCUGCUAAUACCGCAUAAGCGCACAGUACCGCAUGGUACAGUGUGAAAAACUCCGGUGGUGUGAGAUGGACCCGCGGCUGAUUAGCUAGUUGGCAGGGUAACGGCCUACCAAGGCGACGAUCAGUAGCCGGCCUGAGAGGGUGAACGGCCACAUUGGGACUGAGACACGGCCCAAACUCCUACGGGAGGCAGCAGUGGGGAAUAUUGCACAAUGGGGGAAACCCUGAUGCAGCGACGCCGCGUGAACGAAGAAGUAUUUCGGUAUGUAAAGUUCUAUCAGCAGGGAAGAUAAUGACGGUACCUGACUAAGAAGCACCGGCUAAAUACGUG
Molecule: ribosomal RNA, 480 nt
Filed under: uncultured bacterium
Lineage: Bacteria
Description: bacterial SSU rRNA
Rfam family: Bacterial small subunit ribosomal RNA
Source: RNAcentral